UUAAUCCAAAAUGUUAUUUGAAAAGUAUUUAACUGAUUAUUUUAGUCCAAAACAGAGCAUUGUUUAUUGUAUGGUGAAUGUUGACUCAUCAUCUUCUAAUUUUAUUGGAAGUGGAAAUGGCACCUAGUCUCAAGUCUGACCUAUGACAUAAGCAAUUCAAUUCCCUAACAAACAAGACCAUGUGUCAAGACUCAAUAGAUAGAUUAUGAGAGUGGCAGAGCAGGUUUCUUUGUUUGGGUCCACUGAACACACAAAUCUUUCAAUUUUUUGUAGGUCACCGACUCUUAAGUUUAAUUUAAUAAAUCCUAAGAAUAACUAUUUCAGUAAUACAAUUAUUUUUGAAUUAUAUUAUUGAUCGUUAA
RNAcentral lists this long non-coding RNA (362 nucleotides) under Citrus x clementina. Its description in RNAcentral is "Citrus clementina (C. clementina) long non-coding RNA (CCLE_LNC002562)". The record is from RNAcentral. Lineage: Eukaryota; Viridiplantae; Streptophyta; Magnoliopsida; Sapindales; Rutaceae.